GGAUGAAGAACGUAGCGAAAUGCGAUAAGUAAUGUGAAUUGCAGAAUUCAGUGAAUCAUCGAGUUUUUGAACGCAUAUUGCGCCCUCUGGUAUUCCGGGGGGCAUGCCUGUUCGAGCGUCAUUAAAUAACCCUCAAGCAUAGCUUGGUGUUGGGCUUUUUUACGUCCUUGACUGGGAUGGGCCUAAAAAUUAGUGGCGAUGGCUUUUUUACUUUCAAGCGUAGUAAAUCUCGUCUUGCUAAAGAGGAAAAAGAUUUUUUUUCUGCCAAAAAUUUUAACAUUUAAAGUUGACCUCGGAUCAGGUAGGAUUACCCGCUGAACUUAAGCAUAUCAAUAAGCGGAGGA
Molecule: unclassified non-coding RNA, 344 nt
Filed under: soil metagenome
Description: partial contains 5.8S ribosomal RNA, internal transcribed spacer 2, and large subunit ribosomal RNA
Rfam family: 5.8S ribosomal RNA (bases 2-121)
Source: RNAcentral